This 69-nucleotide transfer RNA is filed under the name Harengula jaguana (scaled sardine). Its description in RNAcentral is "tRNA-Met". RNAcentral also lists the same sequence under 1 other name. The record is from RNAcentral. Lineage: Eukaryota; Metazoa; Chordata; Actinopteri; Clupeiformes; Clupeidae.
AGUAAGGUAAGCUAAACAAGCUUUCGGGCCCAUACCCCGAAUAUGUUGGUGAAAACCCCUCCCCUACUA